UCAGACGAUGCGUCAUGCAUAUCAAUAAGCGGAGGAAAAGAAACUAACUAGGAUUCCCUUAGUAACGGCGAGUGAAGCGGGAAGAGCUCAAAUUUGAAAUCUUCAAGGUUCUACCUUGACGAAUUGUAGUUUAAAGAAUGUGUUUUCUGUUGGAGUUUUGGUAAAAGUUCUUUGGAAUAGGACAUCAUAGAGGGUGAGAAUCCCGUAUUUGACCAUUAUUUCCAGCUUUGUGAUACACUUUCAAAGAGUCGGAUUGUUUGGGAAUGCAGUCCAAAAUGGGUGGUAAAUUUCAUCUAAAGCUAAAUAUUGGCGAGAGACCGAUAGCGAACAAGUACCGUGAGGGAAAGAUGAAAAGAACUUUGAAAAGAGAGUUAAACAGUACGUGAAAUUGUCAAAAGGGAAGCGUUUGACACCAGUGUUGUUUAAUUGAAAAUCAAUUAAAAAAGGCAGGAUUUUGUGUUGUAUUGACUUUAUCAGCUUUCUGCACUCUUUUCCUGUCUUUUUUUAAUGCACUUUUCGUUUAACAAGUCAACAUCAAUUUCUUUUGUUGUAAAAGGGUCAUUGGAAGGUGGCUUUCUUUUCGGAGAAAGUGUUUAUAGCCUUUUACCUCUGCAAUCGGAGAGAUUGAGGUCUGCAGCGUAGAUCCUUCGGGGUUAGAUACAUUUGUGCUAAGUUAUAGCCUUUCAUAGACAACUUGUUGACUAUGAUCAGUCAUGUAGCUUACUCGCUUAUGCUAAUUUUACCUACGCUUAGGAUGUUGAUCUACAGAGCGAGAGU
RNAcentral lists this ribosomal RNA (777 nucleotides) under uncultured Neocallimastigales. RNAcentral's name for it is "partial large subunit ribosomal RNA". It matches the Rfam family "Eukaryotic large subunit ribosomal RNA", at positions 18 to 635 of the family's 3401-position model. Lineage: Eukaryota; Fungi; Neocallimastigomycota; Neocallimastigomycetes; Neocallimastigales. The record is from RNAcentral.